RNAcentral lists this transfer RNA (76 nucleotides) under Halobacteriales archaeon. Its description in RNAcentral is "tRNA-Arg". It matches the Rfam family "tRNA". Rfam says of the family: Transfer RNA (tRNA) molecules are approximately 80 nucleotides in length. Their secondary structure includes four short double-helical elements and three loops (D, anti-codon, and T loops). The record is from RNAcentral. Lineage: Archaea; Methanobacteriati; Methanobacteriota; Halobacteria; Halobacteriales. RNAcentral also lists the same sequence under 1 other name.
GGGCACGUAGCUUAGCUCGGACCAAAGCGUCGGACUUCUAAUCCGAAUAUCGUGGGUUCGAAUCCCACCGUGCUCG